Long non-coding RNA from Grus americana (Whooping crane), 310 nucleotides. RefSeq lists it as uncharacterized. The record is from RefSeq and is a predicted model, not a curated record. The transcript is spliced from 4 exons. NCBI's taxonomy places the organism in Eukaryota, Metazoa, Chordata, Aves, Gruiformes, Gruidae.
CCCAGCCCACAGGCCUUGCCUCUGGCUUCCCGCUCUGACCCCAGCCCGCCGGGGAGGGCUCAGCCGCGACAUGGAGUUACAAGGUUCUGGAGAAGGCUUUGCUGACCUUGUAGGAUGUGAAAGGCCAAUAAACUGUCAUUGUGUGAGAUAUGUUCUGUCUUCAUGGGGAGCAGAUGAUACAUCUGAAGGAGUCCCAUCAAGCUGCGGUCUCACAACAGCCUUAGCUGAGUCUGAAGAAAUCCCUGAAAGCACAGGGCACCUCGGUGAUGAGUGAAACCAGGGAUAAAGCACUGAAAGUUGGCUGAACCAG